RNA transcript from Mus musculus (house mouse), 4591 nucleotides. It is a transcript of the gene named RIKEN cDNA D630003M21 gene, with no coding region annotated. The transcript has 14 exons. The record is from RefSeq and is marked validated. Lineage: Eukaryota; Metazoa; Chordata; Mammalia; Rodentia; Muridae.
AGGACAGGGAGUCUGUGUCGUUCUGGCUCAGUGCAGUAUUUGAUAAUAAAAAGCUCGAUUCCAGAGUCAUCCAACGGGAAAGCUACUACAGAACACCUCAGGAAGGGGCUUCCAAACAGCCCACCUCUCCUUCCACGAUUGGUUCCGUGGUAGGGAGUCCACAGGCGUGGUGGGUGUCUGGGGCACCCUGCCUCAUAGCAAUGUGGGUGUCUGCCAUGGGAGCUUCAAGUUCUUGAAGGCUCUGUGUGUGUGUUAGCCGCCAUCCCAAGCCUGACACUGGGCCGUCAGGACUGAUGCUGACAUCUACUCCCCAAUUCCAGGAAGGGGUGCUAUCCUCACCAGCAUCACCUCCACCACCUUCCUAUUUUACAGUUGAAAAACUGAGGCUUAGGAGACAAAAUGACUUGCAGAUAGGAACAAGAAGCCAGCAGUCCUGGGUGGGGACGCUGGAGGGAGCGCUGGGCAGCGCCAGACACCCCUAGACUGUUCCGGUGGCCUCGGCAGGGGGUGCGGAGUGGACCAACGUCGGGCUCCUGUCACCCGCAGCGGCGGCGGCAGCAGGGCGGCGCAGAGCAAGGCGUCGCACAAAGGGCCGCUGUCCCGCCGCCGCCCCGCCCCCCCCCCACGGGGUGGCCCGCCUCUUCCCCCCCCCCCCUUUUCGCCUCCUCAGCCUGGGUCCCCUCUCCCUCUUCCCUGUCCGGGUCUGGCUGCCCCUCGGGAUGAGGCCGGGUUAGGAGUACUCCUCUCGCCCUUCGCACUCUCUCCAGAGCUAGGAGAGCCAGAGCUUCGCGGGACAGAGACUGCCAACGCGGGGACCAGAGGAGCAUCACCAUGGACCCUUCUGCCCUUGACAUGGCCAUCCAGCAUGCCCUGGCAGGACUCUACCCGCCUUUCGAAGCCACUGCUCCCACUGUCCUGGGUCAAGUGUUCCGGCUCCUGGACUCCGACUUCCGGGGAGAUGGACUGAGCUUCCUCUUGGAUUUUCUCAUCCCUGCCAAGCGUCUGUGUGAGCAAGUGCGGGAAGCGGCUUGUGCCCUCUAUACCCACUGCCUCUUCCUGCAUGAGGGCUGGCCGUUGUGUCUGCGGGAUGAAGUUGUGGUACACCUGGCACCACUCAAUCCACUCCUGCUACGUCAGGGUGAUUUCUACCUUCAAGUAGAGUCCUGGGAGGAGCAGUCUGUCCACAUGACACUCAAGUGUCUCUCUUCAGACCUCCGUGAGGUGGACAAGAAGCCAAUUCCUGAGUCCUCCUACUCUCUCAUUUUCACCCCAGAAUGGUUGGAGGCCAUCAACAAUGACUUUGAGGGACGUCCCUUACACAACUGUCUCGUGGCUUCAGAAAAUGGGAUCACACCUGUGCCUUGGACCAAGAUUACCAGUCCAGAGUUUGUAGAUGACAGACCCCCAAUAGUGAAGGUCCCUUCCUCAGACGGGGACUCCUGUCCACUAGAAGACCUCCAUCUGAGCAGACCCCAGGAGCCAUACCAGGCUGGUGACUUGGGCGGCAAGGGAUCUGUGGCCCAGAUCUGGGAUAAGGGUAAAGGGAAGUUGUCUGGGGACAAGUAUCCAGGGCUCAUCAAGGUGGAGCCAGCAAGGUCAGGUCAGCUCGCCUUUAGGACAGACAGUGAGGCCAGCCAGAGCCUGGAGGGGGACUAUGUGGCUCUCCUGGGCUUUCCCCAAGAGUAUAGAGGGGCAUCCCCAGACAGUGAGGUAGUGACAUUAAGUGUAGAUAUUCAAAAAUCACAGGAGACAAGACCCAGAACUAAGGGGGCACCUCUGCUUGGAAAGACCCUUCCUCUCUCGGGGCCUGCUGGGGCACCUCCCUUGGGAAGAUGGGCAUGUGAAAGGCCAGCAGGCUCAGGGGAGAAGCCCUGUAGCGGAGGCUCAAGGAGAAAGGCCAGGCAUAAAGCAUCUGGCCACACUGCAGUGCGACAGCCACAGCAGCCCCAUACUAGUGUCCCGGAGAAGCUGCCGGACUGUACCUCUGGCCUGGUGGAAGACACUGAGGAAGAACCAGCAGCCUCUGAGAUGCAAAAGCCUGUGGGAAUGCCAGAAGCCAUGGUUCGGCUCAGGCCUGGGCCAAGACAAGCAUUCUCUCCCCUCCUGUCUUCAGCUGGCCCUGGAUCCCCAGCGGCUGAGACAAAGACAGAGGAGACCACACUAGGACAUGGGAGAGCUUCCAAGCCUGAGGACUGCCUCAAUAAGAACGCCUCCUUCCAUGGGUCCCCCGCUCCUGGGCUCCAGUUCUCCUUCUUGAAAGAACAGAGGGUACCCCAUGUGACCCCCGAGAAGGCCCUACUCCAGCAUGCCAGGCCUCGGAAGGCCCUGUGCCCCCUCUACUCUCUGCAGCCUUGUGAAGCCAAGGCCCCAGGCAAAGAUGGAACAACUCUCCCCACAACAUCUGGCUCAGGCCCACUGUCUGGGGAGCCGCCUGGCUUCCGGAGAGAUUCUGCAGGUCCUCCAGGGGGAGGACUUCGCCUGGAGGAGUGUUCUAGGACUAAGCCCAGGAUUGAGACCCUGGGAGUCAAGCUUCUCCAGUCCGGGAUAGCCUGCCUGCCAGGUGGUAGGGACAAGGUGGGGAGACCGCUGCUUCUGGUGUCAACCGCAGAGGAUGCCUGGGAGGCACCAUGGUGUACUACCUCAGAGGUCGCGGAGUUGCUGUCCUACUUAUGCAGUGUCCCUAGGCUGGAAGAUAAAGCCAAGGGGCUCCUGGUGGUGAUUGAUGCCAGGAAAGGGACCCAGAGGCCUGGUCUGGUCAGCGCCCUGCAGGGCAUCCAGGCUCUGGCUCCGGCCUCCGUCAGUAAAGUGCUCCUCCUCGGAGAGAAGGCGUCCAUUCCCCAGCUAUCUGUGCUACCUGCCCAGGUGGAGGUACUGACGUCGCUGAAGGCCCUCAGAAACCACGUGGACCCUAGCCAGCUGCCGGAGGCUCUGGAGGGCCCCUUUCCCUACCACCACAGCGAAAACUGGACCCAUUCCUCACUGACCUUCGCCAGGCCUCCUCCCUGCUGCAGGCUUCCAUCCAAGAGUUUGAGAAGGGUGAACCCCCUGGUGGGGUGCAGGAGGCUACCAGGUGCCUGAGCAAGUCCAAGGAGCUGAUGGAGACGGUGCUGAGGGACCCGGGCCUGCUGGCUCUCCAGAGGGAAGGUGGAACUACUCUGGCCAGCUUGCAGCAAGAGGCCAGCGGGCUAAAUGCUAACCCCGAUGUCAGGAGCCAUCUGACCGAGGCUGCUGCCCUGUACAACCUUGUGGAUGGUCAGCUUCAUGACUUGGUCACUGCGUCCAAUCAACUCCUCCGAAGGCUGGAGCUCCGCGUCCGCCUGGGCCACCUGGAGACUGCCAUCCACCAGGUCAGUGACUGGAUGGCGGGAGAAGGCAGCCAGAGUCUGCAGGCUCUCGCUCCUGUGCAUGUAUGUGCAGAGACAGUAGAGAAAGUCCACGCAGAGUUUGAGGAUUUCUUCCUGCAGGUUGCGGCCCAGUACCGCCAGGGCCUUGACCUGUCCAAGCAGGCGGCCCAGCUGGGAGCUGCAGAGGAAGGGGCAGGUGAGAUGGGGCUCCCAGACCUGGCGGCCUUCGCCUCCACCCAGCAGGCCUUCCAAGCCAGGCUGACACACUUCUACAUGGCCGCUGAGAGGCAGCGCACUGACCUGGAGACCCUGCUCCAUCUCCACCGUUUCAGAAGGAAGAUGUCCCGGUUCCACAUGGACUGCCAGAACCUGCUGACCCAGCUCAGCCUGGGCAAGGCUGUGAAGGCCAGCCCUGGGGACCAGUUGCACCUCCGACUCCACUGCUACCUGAAGCGCCUGGCUUCUGAGUUCCAGACGGAGAAACUCCUGGCCAUGAAGCUCCAGGUGGCCUCCCUGAGCCGGCCUGGCCUGGGCCAGGAGGUGUGGGAAGAGGCCCAGGAGCGGCACCAGGAGAUCCAGAGCUUGCUGAGGAAGGCACUAGCCUACUGCCCAUGCCCAGAGGUUCCAGCUACCCAAGUGGCACUCAUAGACCGAAGCAGGCCAGUGGCUAAGGGUCAGGGUCUGCCUAGAGAAGUGGGUUCCAAAUGGGACAGGUCUCUACAGGACUCUCUGGCUGUGGAUCAUGUGUUCAAAUCCCAGCGGACCCCUCAAGGGGAGCAGAGCAGAAACAUGUGGGCAGGCCUGCUAUCCCCAGAACCUGGCCAGUCUGGGGACACUGAGGAAGUCAGGGGCACCCCCAAGCUCCCCGAUCCCACCCUGGAGCGGCUCCUUGCCUCCCUCUUCUCCUGGCCCCACCUUCCCAAGCAGAGCAAGGCCUCCCGUCCAACUGGGGGAAGCUUUUCCUCAGAAGGGACAGGAUCACAGACAUCCCUGGAGGACUCACCCCACACAAGUCCUCCUGCGUCCCUCUAACUGGACCUGAACCACCACACCAGCUCUGGGGGGCUGUGACAGGAUUGACAGAGGGAUCUGCAGAGCCCAUGCCACCUCAUCAAACAUGGCCAUGGUGCAAUGUUAGGACCGCCUUCUGGCUCCAGAAAGCUCCAAGACAAUGGAUUGUUACCCACACUGAACAGUGCGUGUGGGAAUUAGAAUCCAGACUCAAUAAAAGGAGUUUUUUUUGUUUU